RNAcentral lists this long non-coding RNA (237 nucleotides) under Mustela putorius furo (domestic ferret). Its description in RNAcentral is "lncRNA (ENSMPUG00000029329.1)". Lineage: Eukaryota; Metazoa; Chordata; Mammalia; Carnivora; Mustelidae. The record is from RNAcentral.
AUGAUAAGACAGGUUUGGAGUCCAGACAGCAGAGGUAUCCAAGAAGACCAACACAAGGGCGGUUGUCUCCUAAGACGUGGAAGGUUUGAUCACUUAAAGGACUAUUCUUAGUGCCAUAUCAAGCUCUUUUUACCCACUACCCUUAGACCUUUUACAUUUACAAGAAUAAUCUAUAUGCUAAAGAGCAUCAUUAAUAAGGAUUAAUGACAUACAGAGCUCUGGAUGGCAUGGACAAAG